This 505-nucleotide ribosomal RNA is filed under the name uncultured bacterium. Its description in RNAcentral is "bacterial SSU rRNA". It matches the Rfam family "Bacterial small subunit ribosomal RNA", at positions 15 to 518 of the family's 1533-position model. The record is from RNAcentral.
GAUCCUGGCUUAGGAUGAACGCUGGCGGCGUGCUUAACACAUGCAAGUCGAACGAAGCAUUGUGAUUGAUUUCUUCGGAUUGAUUUCACUUUGACUUAGUGGCGGACGGGUGAGUAACGCGUGGGUAACCUGCCGUAUGCAGGGGGACAACAGUUAGAAAUGACUGCUAAUACCGCAUAACCCGCUAGUGCCGCAUGGCACAGACGGAAAAGAUUUUAUCGGCAUACGAUGGACCCGCGUCUGAUUAGCUUGUUGGUGAGGUAACGGCCCACCAAGGCGACGAUCAGUAGCCGAACUGAGAGGUUGACCGGCCACAUUGGGACUGAGACACGGCCCAGACUCCUACGGGAGGCAGCAGUGGGGAAUAUUGCACAAUGGGGGAAACCCUGAUGCAGCCAACGCCGCGUGAGUGAUGACGUAUUUCGGUAUGUAAAGCUCUAUCAGCAGGGAAGAAAAUGACGGUACCUGACUAAGAAGCCCCGGCUAACUACGUGCCAGCAGCCGC